CGCACGGGUUGCGUAACACGUAUGCAAUCUGCCCCUAACAGGGGAAUAGCCCGGCGAAAGUCGGAUUAAUACCCCAUAACAAUGCGAACCGGCAUCGGUUUGUUUUUAAAGCUCCGGCGGUUAGGGAUGAGCAUGCGCGNNNNNNGCUAGAUGGCGGGGUAACGGCCCACCAUGGCUACGAUGUCUAGGGGGUCUGAGAGGAUUUUCCCCCACACUGGUACUGAGACACGGACCAGACUCCUACGGGAGGCAGCAGUAGGGAAUAUUGGGCAAUGGACGCAAGUCUGACCCAGCCAUGCCGCGUGAAGGAUGAAGGCCCUAUGGGUUGUAAACUUCUUUUGUACGGGAAGAAACCCCUCUACGUGUAGGGGGCUGACGGUACCGUAAGAAUAAGGAUCGGCUAACUCCGUGCCAGCAGCCGCGGUAAUACGGAGGAUCCAAGCGUUGUCCGGAUUUAUUGGGUUUAAAGGGUGCGUAGGCGGAUUAUUAAGUCAGAGGUGAAAGUUUGCAGCUUAACUGUAAAAUUGCCUUUGAAACUGGUAGUCUUGAGUAUAGUUGAGGUGGGCGGAAUGUGUCAUGUAGCGGUGAAAUGCUUAGAUAUGAUACAGAACACCGAUUGCGAAGGCAGCUCACUAAACUGUAACUGACGCUGAGGCACGAAAGCGUGGGGAGCAAACAGGAUUAGAUACCCUGGUAGUCCACGCCCUAAACGUUGAAUACUCGUUGUUGGCGAUAUACAGUCAGCGACUAAGCGAAAGCAUUAAGUAUUCCACCUGGGGAGUACGACCGCAAGGUUGAAACUCAAAGGAAUUGACGGGGGCCCGCACAAGCGGAGGAGCAUGUGGUUUAAUUCG
This 854-nucleotide ribosomal RNA is filed under the name uncultured bacterium. Its description in RNAcentral is "bacterial SSU rRNA". It matches the Rfam family "Bacterial small subunit ribosomal RNA", at positions 99 to 953 of the family's 1533-position model. The record is from RNAcentral.